UACGUAGGGGGCAAGCGUUGUCCGGAAUCAUUGGGCGUAAAGAGCGUGUAGGCGGCUCGGUAAGUCCGCUGUGAAAGUCCAGGGCUCAACCCUGGAAUGCCGGUGGAAACUGUCGAGCUAGAUUCCGGAAGAGGCGAGUGGAAUUCCUGGUGUAGCGGUGAAAUGCGCAGAUAUCAGGAGGAACACCAAUGGCGAAGGCAGCUCGCUGGGACGGUACUGACGCUGAGACGCGAAAGCGUGGGGAGCAAACAGG
RNAcentral lists this ribosomal RNA (253 nucleotides) under uncultured bacterium. RNAcentral's name for it is "partial 16S ribosomal RNA". It matches the Rfam family "Bacterial small subunit ribosomal RNA", at positions 524 to 776 of the family's 1533-position model. The record is from RNAcentral.